AAAGGUAGAUGCAAUAUAUUUAUUAGGAUUUAUUUAACCAAACAUUGAUGAUUACUACGUGUCAGGUACUAUUCCAAGUAUUUAUAAAUAUAACUAAUUUAAUCUCUUCUUCUUCCAGUCUUUAAAAUUAACUAAAAUCAUUUUUUUAAAAAAGAGGCCACAAUUUUUUCUUUUCUGUUUAUACUACUUCCUAAGUACUUAGCUAGACCUUCUAGAUGUCUGGAUAUCUGGCCACUCUUUUGGUUCUUCAUAUAUGCCAUGCUCUCUUGUGCCUUAGAACCUUUAAGUUUGCUGUUUCCCCUGCUGGGAAAGUUAUUUUAAUCUGUCCCUUUUCUUAUUUAAUUCCUGCUUUUUCUUCAGAUCUCAGUUCAACCAUCAUCUUUGAGGCAAAAAUUUCAACUUCUUUAUCUAAAGACAAGUAGAGGGCUACAAUAGCAUAUUACAGAAAUUUUAAGAGCUGUGCUUAAUCCACUUUGCUCACCUUGAAUCUCUAGUCCUCAGAUAGUGGUUCUUAUUUUCCAUGAAAUGAGGAAACAUUGAAGGGUAAUGGGGAAUGGCUUAGGUUAUGUUUUAAAAGGAUCACUCUGACUGUUUUACUGAGAUGAAAGUAGGGGCACAAAAGUGGAAUAAGAAAGAUAACUUAUGAGGCUACCAAUAAUCCAAUUCAGGGCUGAUGAUAGCACUGACAAUAAAAAGUGGUCAUAUUUGGAGUAUUUUGAAAGCAGAACCAACAAAAUUUGUAUUGGGUGUGAGGUGUGAGAGCAAGGAGUAAAGCAUGACUUCAAGAUUUUGCCUGAGCAACUGGUAGGAUGCGGUUGUCAUCAGCUGAAAUGAGAAAACCUGUGGGUGCAGCUAGUUUGAGGGAAGAGCAAGAUUUCUGUCUUGAACAUAGGUUUGAGAUGUCUAUUUAGACAUCCAAUAGAGAUAUUAAAUAGGCAGCUGGAAUUCAAGAAAGCCUGGAAAUAAAAGAUAAAAACUGCAAGUUGGCAGUACAUUGAUAGUACUUAAAGCCAUGAAACUGGAUGAGAUCACCAAGAGAGUGAGUAUAAGCAAAGAGGCAAACCGUGGACUGAGUCCUCAGGUGUUUUAAUGUAAAGAGAUUAGGGAGAAGGAAGGGAUCAGCAAGGAGACUGAGAAUGACUAGUCAAUGAGGCAGAAGUGUGGUCUUUCAGAAGUGAAAUGAAAGUAUAUCAAGGAGAAAAGGAGUCAGGACAAAUAGCUGGUCUCUAAAUCAAUGUCAUUAAAAAUUUUAAAAACAAAACCACUCACUUAAAAGCUCUACAGGGUAUAACAGCUAGAUAAGACACAUAGACCUAGAUUUAAUACUGCUUUAGAAAAACCAGUGGUAAAAAACGUUUUGAGGCCAAAUUGGUAAAUUUAGCUUUAGUAUUAGAGAUGAAAACACUGAAAGGGAAAGCUCAAGGUUGCUGUUUUUUUUUUUUUUUUUAAAGGUAUGUUCUCACUCUGUCAACCAGACUGGAAUGCAGUGGCAUGUUCACAGUUCACUACGACCUUGACCCACUAGGCUCAAGUGAUCUUUCCACCUCAGCCUCCCAAGUAGCUGGGACUACAGGCACAUGCCACCACACCUGGCUAAAUUUUUGGCAAAGAUGGGGUCUAUUGCCAUUGCCCAGCCGAACUCCUGGCCUCAAGUGAUCCUCCUGCCUCAGACUUCCAAAGUGUAAGGAUUACAGGAGAUACAUAAAUAACGGUUGGCAUUUGGGAGGCCUCAACCAUUCCUGAGGUACUGGUGGUGGCAGUUGCAAGUAUCUUUUGCUGCACUGAAGGAGGCAAUGAUGACGCUGGUACAGAUUUCACUUCAGCAUGGGCUGGAAUCUGUAAAUGAUGCCCAGAAGGCAAAACUGGAGACUUCACAGUCACUGGAAGACUCUGGGUAUUAACUACAAUAAAAGAUGAGUCUUUUUGUGUUGAGGGAGGAACAGCAAAUGUUUGCAUGGUGAGUCCAUCAAUUUUCACACCAUGACUCUGAACUUUAGAAACUGAUGAAGAAAAAUUUCCAGUUCCCACAGAAGUAACUCUACCUUUUUCUGAUGUAUCUACUGUUCUUGUAAGAAAAUAGUUUGAAGAACUGGCUGGCUGAAAAAUGGGCAAUUGAACUGAUGCACUUGUGGAAGAGCUGGAAAUCUGAGUCUGAAAAGUAACUUGAACUGGUUUUCCUGUAUUCCCUUUCAAAGCAUCAGACAUGACUGAAGAUUGAACUAGUGGUAUAAGAUUUCCAGAAGACUUAGGAAUUGGAAGUAAUUGCAGAAGAUUUUUUCCAUCCGAGCCAAUCGUCUGAACUACUUGGUACAUGCAGCCUGAAACACUUAAAAGAACAUUGAGUAAAUAAAUACAACAU
Molecule: long non-coding RNA, 2359 nt
Organism: Homo sapiens (human)
Lineage: Eukaryota; Metazoa; Chordata; Mammalia; Primates; Hominidae
Source: Ensembl